CUGGUUGAUCCUGCCGGAGAUCACCGCUAUUAGAGUUCCACUAACCCAUGCGAGUUCCUGGGUAAAACCAGAGCGAACGGCUGAGUAACACGUAGUUAACAUCACUUUAGGUGGCGAAUAACCUUGGGAAACUGAGAUGAAUACGCCAUAGUCAAUUAUGCCUGGAACGGUUUAUUGACCAAAGCUUCGGCGCCUAAAGAUUAGACUGCGGUGGAUUAGGUAGAUGUUAGGGUAAUGACCUGACAUGCCAAUAAUCCAUAGGGGCCAUGAAAGUGGUGGCCUCCAGAUGGAUUCUGAGACACGAAUCCAGGCCCUAUGGGGCGCAGCAGGGGGGAAAACUCCGCAAUGCACGAAAGUGUGACGGGGGAACUCUAAGUGCCAGCACACCGCUAGGGCUUUUCAUUAGUCCAAAUCGCUAGUGGAAUAAGUGGGGGGUAAGACCGUUGCCAGCCGCCGCGGUAAUAACGGCUCCACAAGUGGUGAUCACGUAUAUUGGGUCUAAAGCAUUCGUAGCCGGUUUGUUAAGUCUUCUGUGAAAUCUGGCAGAAAACUGUCAGGCGUGCAGGAGAUACUGGCAAGCUUGGGACCGGGAGGAGCCUGGAGUACUUUUAGGGUAGGGGUAAAAUCCUGUAAUCCUAAAGGGACUACCUGUGGCGAAGGCGCCAGGCUAGAACGGAUUCGACGGUGAGGAAUGAAAGCGAGGGGAGCAAAGGGGAUUAGAAAUACCCCCGUAGUCCUCGCUGUAAACGAUGCCCGCUUGGUAUUGGAAGUUGCUAGACUUCUUCCAGUGCCGUAGGGAAGCCAUUGAGCGGGCCACCUGGGAAGUACAGUCGCAAGGCUGAAGCUUAAAGGAAUUGGCGGGGGAGCACACAAGGGGUGCGGUUUGCGGUUCAAUUGGAUUCAACGCCGGGAACCUCACCAGGGGUGACAGCAGUAUGAUGGUCAGUCUGAAGGGCUUACCUGACGCGCUGAGAGGUAUUGCAUGGCCGUCGUCAGCUCGUGCCGCGAAAGGUGUCCUGUUAAGUCAGGUAACGAGCGAGACCCACGCCGUAUGUUGCCAGCUGUUUCUUCGGAAGCGGCGCACUCAUGCGGGACUGCCCGUGCUAAAUGGGGGGAAGGAGUGGUCAACGGUAGGUCAGUAUGGUCCGAAUCCCCUGGGCUACACGCGGGCGCCAAUGGCAAGGACAAUAGGAUGCAACUCCGAAAGGAGGAGCUAAUCCCUGAACCCUUGUCUCAGUACAGAUUGAGGGUUGCAACUCACCCUCAUGACGCCGGAAUCCCUAGUAGGCGAAUGUUAGCAUCUUUCGUCGAAUACGUCCCCGCUCCUAGCGCACAC
Molecule: ribosomal RNA, 1336 nt
Filed under: uncultured archaeon
Lineage: Archaea
Description: bacterial SSU rRNA
Rfam family: Archaeal small subunit ribosomal RNA
Source: RNAcentral